UUUUAGAUAGUAUAAACAAGUACACUUACCUUCCAAGUAAAAAGUCUGGAGCCAGCCUCCAAA
This 63-nucleotide transfer RNA is filed under the name Pedipes pedipes. RNAcentral describes it as "tRNA-Gly". The record is from RNAcentral. Lineage: Eukaryota; Metazoa; Mollusca; Gastropoda; Ellobiida; Ellobiidae.